CUGUCCCCUCCUACUUUGUUCCCCAUAUAACUGCAGUGUUCUCUUUCUCUCGCUCCCCUGCUCUCCUGUUUUUUUUUUCUUUCUUUCAUAUAUUAACGAGCUCCCCUCCCAAUUAGGAGUUAGCAGUCUCCCCUGGAGGCUGUUUGCUCAGGUAACAUACCUCAUUAGCAUAUCUGAUGGAUCAACCUGCUGUGUGUGUGUGUGGGUGUGUGUGUGGGUGUGGGUGUGGGUGUGCCCGCUUGUGAAAUGGGUUAUCUGCAGAGGAAGGUGUAUGAGAAGAUGUGUGUUUGGAAGGUUGUGUCUGGGUUGUUUGUGUGUCGGCAUUAGUCAUUGAUUAAGAAUAAAUCCCCACCCCCCUGUCGCUAGAAGAGCAAAAACCUCCUCCCCCCUACCCCAUUGGGGCUCUGAGGUGUCAAUCAAACCAAGAGCGGGGGCGGAGCCUGCUGUAUUUGUCUUGGCAGCAUGCUGCCGGGUCAGACCACGGGAGUUAGCAUGCAGGGCAGGUGCACUGUGUGCCCAUGGCUGAGGAACAAUGGUGGCUCUCUCUUCCUCUGCAGCUAAACUAGUUUGGAAACAUUGUUGGACGACAUUGCUGCUAUGUGUUCAGGCUGGGUGCACACGUGUUGGUAAAGCGUUUCAACGGUGGUGUAAGACUGGCGUUCAAAAAUGCCCUCUAUGAUUUUAGAUGUGUACGACGUACCACGCAACAUACAUAUUAGUAACUCGUACAUUUGUAUCCUCAAAUCUUCUAAAUGGAUGUGGGGAAAGGCAUUGGAUCGAUAUAGAUGUGGGGUUGUCGUGUGAGUGGUGCAAGGGGACGUGCUUAACAAGAAGUGUCUCCUCUGCUGUCCUUGUUCUUCCUUCAUUUAUCCAUUCACUCAUUCAUCUCUGUCUUCGGACCAAGAUAACAGGAUUACUUAUCCAUGCAUCCACUAAGGGAGAAGGGGGAGAUGGAAAGCGAGAGGGGGAGAGGCACUUAGAGAGGUGGAGGGACAACCAAGCCAGACCUGUGUGUGUGUGGGGGUGGGGGUGGGGGUGGGGGUGUGUGUGUGUGCACUACUUGCCACCAAGGAAAAAAAAAAAACGUCACAGAUACACUAUGCAAAGACACUCUCUUUCUCUCUCUGUGUGUCUAGCUAUCUCUCUCUAUCAAUUACAAACUCUGGCCCCUCCCUGGUAUGAGCUAGCCUGGUCCUACUAAACUCGCGUACUUCAUUUCAUUUGCACAGAGAGUCUGGACCUACUAAAUUGACAAACGUUAACUCACUUGAAGGCGGGUGUCUGUUGAAGUUUAAAGCUAUUGGAUCUGCCCAGUGCCACUCUGGAUCUGCCAUAACCAAUUGCUAACAUUUGGCCGGGAAUCACUUUGCGCGCAGGCUGUAAACAAACCAAACACCGUGCGUGAAGAUGUCUGUCAACGAGAGCUGACUUUGACGUCAUUGUUUCCAGCCACUCCCUCUGUUCGCUGAUUGGACGCAGAAAAUUUGGAAGGAGAAAACCAACUAACAUACCUCAGACCAAGACCAAGUAGGGAAAUCAAAAUUGAGCGGAGGUACUUAGGCGGGCGGGCGGAGCCAGGCUAGGUAUGAGCAAAGGGGCUGAUUUUAUUGGUCCAAGGCAAGCCCCAUAUUCCAUGUCCCUCUCCAGCUGAUUUCCAUGAUUCGGGAAGCCUUGACGCCUGACAUGUCGGUCAAAGAACUUGCCGUUGCUGCCGACUGAGAUCACACGCUAACAUUUCACCUUUCGGAAUCUUACGAAACUCUUUUCGCCUUAAAUGAACGGUUCAAAGUGUUGGAAGUUUACUUUUCCUGGCAAUGGUGAAACGCUGCGGUAGCAGGGAUUCCCAACGGUCACUGAAUCAAUAUUAAUAAUAUUUAAAUAUAGCUGUUGAGUGUAAUGUCAAGGAUCAGCCCGGUGAUGUAAUUCAGUUGAAAUGGGCUCGCUCUCGGCCUGGCGCUCUCCAUCCAUCAGGAAUUUUGUCUGUUGAAGACCGCAUCAAAUAUGGCGUUUCUGUCUAAGAAGUUCUCUAAGUCCAUCUUUUUUAAGUCGUCGUGUUUCUACUGACUUUACACUUGAGUUAUUUUACUUUAGUUAACUCUUGGGACUUUGUGUCUCUACCUAUCACUUUCUUUCUUUCUCUCCCUCUGCCCACCCACUCUCGCUCUCUCUCCCUCCCCCUAUUCUUCUCCCUUCUCUUUUCGAUGAGGCCGGUAUACUCCUCUGUUGUUGCCGUGGAGAUGUGGGCAACAUGCGUCCCUGGAAUGUGACGACUAGCAUUCCGACACACACACACGUCCUCACACACACAUGCACACACGCACGCACACACACCCUGUGCCCUGCCAGCUCGGCGGGUCGUUGCAUUUGGCACGUGGCCAUGGUCUCCCCUACAUUUUGAACACACUCACACACACACACACACACACACUCUACUCUAACACACACACACACAGACACACACGCUCGCCCCCUGACUGACUCUUGCCUUGGCAGACAGCUCCUGCUGAGUAAGGAGGCUCUCCCUCUCUCUCUCUCUCUCUCUCUCUCUCGCUCUCUCGCUCUCUCGCUCACUCACUCACUCACUCACUCUCUCUCUGUCUCUGUGUCUCUCAUUAUCUGAUGGGGCUGUGCACUUGUAAGUCAGACACACACACACACACACACACACACACACACAAACACGUCAUCUCUCCUUACUGGAUGUGAAGCCUUGGGGCCUUUAGUCAUUCCUUUUGCACACACACACACACACACACACACACACACACACACACACACACACACACACACACACACACACACACACACACACACACACACACACACACACACACACACACACACACACACACACACACACACACACCCCUACCUUCCGUCACCACAACCCCUUACAUUUUCGACCAGUAGCCUGCUAAACCGUUGCACUAGGAAACAGCUUCCUAUCUGAAGGUGUGGCGGUGGCUAUCGGACUCAGCCAGCGUUUGUUCCUUCCUCCCAUCCACAGGCUGAUUUUGUAUUUAUUUUCCGCAACACUGUCGCGAGAUUGUGAUCUCUCUGGGCCUGACCCAUCCAUGCUAGCGGGGGUACUCUUCCUUCCGGGACUGAAACCCGCCCGACGACCAACGCCGCGGUACGGUGUGCCAAACGCGGCGCCCACUUCAACACACGCACACGCACAUACACACACUGUUGCGUGGGAUUGAUAACAGACAGGGGAUUAGUAAUACUCAUGAUUCACCCGUUCAAACAUGCAUUCCUCCUCAGUACGUUUGUGUAUUUGGCCGUAGCCUUACACUGUCCCAGCUUGCAUAACCCAGAGGACUCACACACACACUGUGUACAUCACACACAUACGCACACACAUACACAUAGAUACAUUACACACACACACACACACACACACACACACACACACACACACACACACACACACACACACACACACACACACACACACACACACACACACACACACACACACACACACACACUGUACAAUGCAUACGCCUACACCUCCAGGGCUCCGGCGAGCGAUCUGUGCAUCGAAUGGGGAGCUGAGUCACUCGGACAGCCACUAAGCUGUUUGCAUACAGUAACCAUACAAUGACUACUGUUGUGCAGGCUAUAGGGAUAAUAACAGUAUUCAGACGCAGCCAUGGAGGAGAGCAGAGGGAGUGGGGGAGAGAAAAGACUCUGUCUCUUGUCUGAGCUGGUUGGACUUGCUCACCCCUGGGCACAUUGUUCUGCUGCAGCUGGGGGCACAGAUAUGGUCCGCUCCUAUUGAGGGGCUUUAGCAGAUGCUUUUGUCCGGUAUGGCUAACGAUGAGCGCGUGGUGAGCGACGUGUGGCUAAUGAGCAGGUAGUGGCUGAGGGGGCGUCCUGCUCAAGGGAGCCUACAGGUGGGCGGCUUCAAUCCCGACGCGAUCAUCUAACCUCUGAAACGGCCCGUCCACCUGACCGCCCGUUUCCUUUAGAGGCUGUGAAUUCUGAGGCCAACGGGGUUGGUGGUUCACGGUUCGAGCUGACGGCAACACAGACACUGUUGUGCAUCUGGUUUUUGGUGUUCCACCGCAUUCGUCGGGCGGCCCCUGUGCUCUGCCUCGUGCCUGUUUUGCAUCCCAUUCUCUUGACGACCGGGUUCCCAAGUGUGUGUGUGCUUAACAAAAGGCCUUGUUGUCACGUUGAAGUGUCGCCGGGGGCUCAGCUAAGUUAGCAUAGCACGCACCUGCGGGGGAUGGCUGUGACUUUUCUGUUUGUGUUUAGCUUGGCUUCUCAGCAUGUUUAGCCCUUGUUUAGCCUGAGUGGCGUUUGCUGUUGGCUAGUUAAACGUUGAAGGUGCCAGAGAGCCGCCUGAAGGGGCUUUAGGUGGAGAGGUGACGGAGGCGUUCAUAAGAGGCUUUUGGAUACCUGCGUUAGCAUGGCACUCUUGCUCAUAGUUAGCUUGAUGUGAACCUUCGCCUAAGGUGAAAACACCUGAUAUAGGGUCAUGGUAUGAUAGCAUCGUGUGUGUGUGUGUGUGUGUGUGUGUGUGUGUGUGUGUGUGUGUGUGUGUGUGUGUGUGUGUGUGUGUGUGUGUGUGUGUGUGUGUGUGUGUGUGUGUGUGUGUGUGUGUGUGUGUGUGUGUGUGUGUGUGUGGAACACUUGCUGCCUCAUUGUCGUGCUAAGGACAUGCCAGUGUGGGACCAAUCGGUGACCUCGCCCUGGGUUCCAAUGACACGCUGUGCGUUUGUUGGUCACCCAUCACCUUACCAAUUGCUGUGUCCCACAACCACUAAGUAAUGGAAGCACAUGGAAUUAAGUCUAAAAUGUUUGAGAGACGGGGAGGGAGAGAGAAAGAGAGAGGGAGAAUGUGUGUCACACAUUGGUGUCUAGCACUAGAAGCCCCUGCCAGAUAGCAUUGUUGUUUACAAGCCUGCUUCUUUUGUGUGUGUGUGUGUGUGUGUGUACGUCUGAAACACCAUUGGAUCAUCGCCUCACCCCUCAUUGACUUCUGUGCUUGCCUGCGACACGCCUCUGUGUGCACACACCAGUUGACAUCGUGUGUGUGUGUGUGUGUGUGUGUGUGUGUGUGUGUGUGUGUGUGUGUGUGUGUGUGUGUGUGUGUGUGUGUGUGUGUGUGUGUGUGUGUGUGUGUGUCCGCAGAAAACAGUUGGGCUUAUCUCUGAGUUGAAUUUGUUAGGUGUGUGUGUUUUGCAUUAUGUGCAGUUUGUUUCCUUGUGUGACAGAGUUUGGUUAAUCGUUGGUGUCCCAACAGGUUACCGUUCUGAGGUUAACCCUUGUCUGCCCCCAUCAACGGGGCCUCCGGUUGGGCCAUGUCUUGGGUCAAGGCAAAAGUUCUGCGUAUUACUCAAAAGUCUCUGAAUGACUUUUCAUUAUUUCGCUUUGACCUAUUCUUUUUUUGCUCAUCUUUUUAUUUCUC
Molecule: long non-coding RNA, 5422 nt
Organism: Gadus macrocephalus (Pacific cod)
Lineage: Eukaryota; Metazoa; Chordata; Actinopteri; Gadiformes; Gadidae
Exons: 3
Source: RefSeq, a predicted model, not a curated record